This 403-nucleotide ribosomal RNA is filed under the name uncultured bacterium. Its description in RNAcentral is "bacterial SSU rRNA". It matches the Rfam family "Bacterial small subunit ribosomal RNA", at positions 28 to 432 of the family's 1533-position model. The record is from RNAcentral.
GAUGAACGCUAGCAGUAUGCCUUAUACAUGCAUGUCGAACGAAGUGCUUUAUGCACUUAGUGGCAAAUGGGUGAGUAACACGUACUUAACCUACCUUUUAGAUUGGAAUAACCAUGAGAAAUCGUGGAUAAUACCGAAUAUGAUUUAUUUUCGCAUGAAAUUAUUUUGAAAGAAGCGUUUUGCUUACGCUUAAAAAGAUGGGGGUAGCGCGACAUUAGUUGUUGGUAGGUAAGCCUACCAAGACUAUGAUGUCUAGCCGAGCUGAGAGGCUGACCGGCCACAUUGGGACUGAGAUACGGCCCAGACCGCUACGGUGGGCAGCAGUAGGGAAUUUUUCACAAUGAACGAAAGUUUGAUGGAGCAAUACUGUGUGCAGGAAGAAGGUCUUCGGAUUGUAAAACUG